RNAcentral lists this ribosomal RNA (595 nucleotides) under uncultured bacterium. Its description in RNAcentral is "bacterial SSU rRNA". It matches the Rfam family "Bacterial small subunit ribosomal RNA", at positions 338 to 946 of the family's 1533-position model. The record is from RNAcentral.
CCUACGGGAGGCAGCAGUAGGGAAUUUUCCGCAAUGGGCGAAAGCCUGACGGAGCAAUACCGCGUGAGGGAUGACGGCCUGUGGGUUGUAAACCUCUUUUCUCAAGGAAGAAGUUCUGACGGUACUUGAGGAAUAAGCAUCGGCUAACUCUGUGCCAGCAGCCGCGGUAAUACAGAGGAUGCAAGCGUUAUCCGGAAUCACUGGGCAUAAAGCGUCUGUAGGUUGUUUAGUAAGUCUGCUGUUAAAGACUGGGGCUUAACCCCAGAAAAGCAGUGGAAACUGCUAGACUCGAGUGUGGUAGAGGUAGAGGGAAUUCCUAGUGUAGCGGUGAAAUGCGUAGAUAUUAGGAAGAACACCAAUGGCGAAGGCACUCUACUGGGCCAUAACUGACACUGAGAGACGACAGCUAGGGGAGCAAACGGGAUUAGAUACCCCGGUAGUCCUAGCCGUAAACGAUGGAUACUAGAUGUUGCACGUAUUAACCCGUGCAGUAUCGUAGCUAAGGCGUUAAGUAUCCCGCCUGGGAAGUACGCUCGCAAAGAGUGAAACUCAAAGGAAUUGACGGNNGAGAGNGCGAGACGACGACGAGGGAGAG